GGGGCGUUCGGUCAGGGCCUCGACCAGCUGGUCGAGGCGGUCGACCUCGACCUCGAUCUUGACCAGAUGGCCGGCGAAGGCGCGGGCGCGGCGGAUCGAUUCCGCCACGCCGCC
RNAcentral lists this transfer RNA (114 nucleotides) under Hyphomicrobiaceae bacterium. RNAcentral's name for it is "tRNA-OTHER". Lineage: Bacteria; Pseudomonadati; Pseudomonadota; Alphaproteobacteria; Hyphomicrobiales; Hyphomicrobiaceae. The record is from RNAcentral.